AGAGUUUGAUCCUGGCUCAGGAUAAACGCUGGCGGCGUGCCUAAUGCAUGCAAGUCGAACGGUCUAGCCCGCAAGGGUUAGGUAGUGGCAAACGGGUGAGUAACACGUGGGGAUCCGCCCAGUAGUGGGGAACAACUCCGAGAAAUCGGAGCUAAUACCGCAUACGGUCGAGAGACUAAAGCCUUCGCAAGAGGGUGCUAUUGGAGGAACCUGCGGCUGAUUAGCUAGUUGGUGGGGUAAAGGCUCACCAAGGCGAUGAUCAGUAGCUGGUCUGAGAGGAUGGACAGCCACACUGGGACUGAGAUACGGCCCAGACUCCUACGGGAGGCAGCAGCAAGGAAUUUUCGUCAAUGGGGGAAACCCUGAACGAGCAACGCCGCGUGGGCGAAGAAGUCCUUCGGGAUGUAAAGCCCUUUUCCCUGUGAAGAAAGAAAGACGGUAACAGGGGAAUAAGCAUCGGCUAACUACGUGCCAGCAGCCGCGGUAAUACGUAGGAUGCAAGCGUUGUCCGGAAUUAUUGGGCGUAAAGAGCGCGCAGGCGGUUUUUCAAGUCAGAUGUGAAAUAUCCGGGCUUAACCUGGAGGGGUCAUUUGAAACUGAAAGACUAGAGUACAGCAGAGGAUAGCGGAAUUCCCGGUGUAGUGGUGAAAUGCGUAGAUAUCGGGAGGAACACCAGUGGCGAAGGCGGCUAUCUGGGCUGAAACUGACGCUGAGGCGCGAAGGCUAGGGGAGCAAACAGGAUUAGAUACCCUG
This 753-nucleotide ribosomal RNA is filed under the name uncultured bacterium. Its description in RNAcentral is "bacterial SSU rRNA". It matches the Rfam family "Bacterial small subunit ribosomal RNA", at positions 8 to 789 of the family's 1533-position model. The record is from RNAcentral.